UUGUCUCGUGGUGCCACAGGGAGUCACAAUUGUCUGCACACUUCUACCCCAGCCUGGGAGAAGUGUCCCACCAGCUUUUCCUGGCCGGAAUGUGCCGGGAGAGGUGACGCAGCUGGCAAAGGUCAGAUUUGCUGUGGAGGUGUCGGGGAUGUAUAAGCCCCAGCUUUGCUGAGCCGGGCUCUUCCCAGGGCCAUUGUCUCCUUGGUAAGAGGUGGCAUCUGUGUCCUUUGCAGAGCCCAGGCCUCAGAGCAGGAUUUGACCAGGCUGAGUUUUCCAGGUGAAGAAGAGAAAUAAGGUGGUGUGGGAAGGACGAGAAGCUUUGCAGAGCAGGUAACUGGCUCCUGGCCUCCAGAAUCUCAAACUGAGCAGCAAGCCCCGCUUCUCGCUAAGCUCCAUGUUGCUAAGUCAGCCCUUUGGCACAAUGAUCACUGGAAACAGGAAAAUUAACUGAAGAAUAAAUUACUGUUUGGAGUACAACCCUUUAUUUAUUGUCUGGAAGCUGCUGUGAAGUCAAAGUCAAAAAUUAAUGCAGAGUUCCCAAGGUCCUGGGAAAGGUGCAAGUCAUUGACAUGAAUGUUGUUGCUGCUCAACAGAUUUUGCUGCUCCAGGUGAAGCCAACAGCAGCAGGAUCAGACCUAUUAUUUUUGCUUUUUCUCCAGUGUGUUUGGACACGCACAGGCCAAGCUCUGUCACGUGUGGCCUCUGAGGAACCGUGAACCCAACACCGUGGGCUGGGCUGAAGGACUUGGCUAAUGGAGAAUUUACGGCCCCUAUGAACACGGCACACUGCUGGGCAGGGAAGUGUUGCUUGGACCCAGAAUGACACAUGAUCAAAAGCAGAACAGAUUGGGAAAUCUGAAAAUUUGGAGGACCGAGGGAAUAUGUUCUCAGCAGAGCUUCUCACAGAUUCUUCCACCACUGUACCAGUUUAUUAGAGUCCUGAAAAAAAAACUAGUUCCUGCCAGCCCGGGUGACUCCUAUCACAGCUAUGACUGGUUUAUUCCAUUUGCAAGUCAAAGCAAGUUUCUUCUCUCUCUUGAAGACUUCCUGGGCACAACAAAGCCACAACCACAGGAUGAUAUGAGCUGUCAUUGGAGGGGAGUUUCUACUUUGUUUUAUAACCCUGCUCAUAUUAAGGUAAUGUCAGGAAAGAACUGAGGACAAGUGGGAGAGUUUCAGCUGCCUUUUGUGUAACAUUGUUUUGAAACAAUUGUAACACAGGAAUUUAAUAAUAAAAACAAUAAUUAAGGAUGUUA
This is an RNA transcript of Columba livia (rock pigeon), 1256 nucleotides long. RefSeq lists it as uncharacterized. The transcript has 3 exons. The record is from RefSeq and is a predicted model, not a curated record. Lineage: Eukaryota; Metazoa; Chordata; Aves; Columbiformes; Columbidae.